GCCGGGGUGGUGGAAUGGUAGACACGCCAGACUUAAAAUCUUGUGAUCGCAAGGUCGUGAGGGUUCGAGUCCCUCCCUCGGCA
This 83-nucleotide transfer RNA is filed under the name Candidatus Woesebacteria bacterium. Its description in RNAcentral is "tRNA-Leu". It matches the Rfam family "tRNA". Rfam says of the family: Transfer RNA (tRNA) molecules are approximately 80 nucleotides in length. Their secondary structure includes four short double-helical elements and three loops (D, anti-codon, and T loops). Lineage: Bacteria; Candidatus Woeseibacteriota. The record is from RNAcentral.